Molecule: transfer-messenger RNA, 355 nt
Filed under: Desulfobacterales bacterium
Lineage: Bacteria; Pseudomonadati; Thermodesulfobacteriota; Desulfobacteria; Desulfobacterales
Also listed under: 1 other name
Rfam family: transfer-messenger RNA
About the family: Bacterial tmRNA, also known as 10Sa RNA or SsrA, is named for its dual tRNA and mRNA-like properties. Its role is to liberate the mRNA from a stalled ribosome. To accomplish this part of the tmRNA is used as a reading frame that ends in a translation stop signal.
Source: RNAcentral
GGGGGCGAAACGGCUUCGACGGGGGCAUGGAAGCAAUGGUUGCAUGCCGAGUUCCGCAGACUCGUAAAACAGGCGGUGCUUAAAUAUAAAAGCAGACGAUUAUAACUACGCAGUAGCCGCUUAAGACGGCUACCGUCCUUCCGGGUUUUUCCUGCGGGCCCGGAAAGGGCGCCGACUAGCAGGAUAGCCGAUACGGGUUGCCUGUUCCCGUUCAGGCGAAACACCAAACCGGCUUGCGGUUUGCGUAUCCUGUCUGAAGGAGCCGCAAACAGCGAAAUUCAAAAUUCAGACUAAGCAUGUAGAUGCCGUUGUGGAAUGUUUCCGGACGCGGGUUCGACUCCCGCCGCCUCCACCA